RNAcentral lists this ribosomal RNA (724 nucleotides) under uncultured Finegoldia sp. RNAcentral's name for it is "bacterial SSU rRNA". It matches the Rfam family "Bacterial small subunit ribosomal RNA", at positions 65 to 791 of the family's 1533-position model. Lineage: Bacteria; Bacillati; Bacillota; Tissierellia; Tissierellales; Peptoniphilaceae. The record is from RNAcentral.
AACGGGAUUUAGUAGACAGAAGCCUCGGUGGAAGAUUACUAAUGAGAGUGGCGAACGGGUGAGUAACGCGUGAGCAACCUGCCUAUGACAGUGGGAUAGCCUCGGGAAACCGGGAUUAAUACCGCAUAAAAUCGUAGAAACACAUGUUUUAACGGUCAAAGAUUUAUCGGUCAUAGAUGGGCUCGCGUCUGAUUAGCUAGUUGGUGAGAUAACAGCCCACCAAGGCGACGAUCAGUAGCCGGUCUGAGAGGAUGAACGGCCACAUUGGAACUGAGACACGGUCCAAACUCCUACGGGAGGCAGCAGUGGGGAAUAUUGCACAAUGGGGGAAACCCUGAUGCAGCGACGCCGCGUGAACGAAGAAGGUAUUCGUAUCGUAAAGUUCUGUCCUAUGGGAAGAUAAUGACAGUACCAUAGAAGAAAGCUCCGGCUAAAUACGUGCCAGCAGCCGCGGUAAUACGUAUGGAGCGAGCGUUGUCCGGAAUUAUUGGGCGUAAAGGGUACGCAGGCGGUUUAAUAAGUCGAAUGUUAAAGAUCGGGGCUCAACCCCGUAAAGCAUUGGAAACUGAUAAACUUGAGUAGUGGAGAGGAAAGUGGAAUUCCUAGUGUAGUGGUGAAAUACGUAGAUAUUAGGAGGAAUACCAGUAGCGAAGGCGACUUUCUGGACACAAACUGACGCUGAGGUACGAAAGCGUGGGGAGCAAACAGGAUUAGAUACCCUGGU